Molecule: non-coding RNA, 144 nt
Organism: Coturnix japonica (Japanese quail)
Lineage: Eukaryota; Metazoa; Chordata; Aves; Galliformes; Phasianidae
Source: RefSeq, a predicted model, not a curated record
AAAGGCAGUGCACAGAGUAGGUAAGUGUGAGUCGGCUGCAGAAUGGCAACUGAAAAGAACCCGCUGCUGUCCUUGAUUCUCACCGCCGGGCUCACGGCACUCGCAGCUACUGGGCAAAAAGCAGAGCAACCAGAAGUGGUGACC